Molecule: ribosomal RNA, 414 nt
Filed under: Caulobacter sp.
Lineage: Bacteria; Pseudomonadati; Pseudomonadota; Alphaproteobacteria; Caulobacterales; Caulobacteraceae
Description: bacterial SSU rRNA
Rfam family: Bacterial small subunit ribosomal RNA
Source: RNAcentral
AAGAAAAUGACGGUACCCGGAGAAGAAGCCCCGGCUAACUUCGUGCCAGCAGCCGCGGUAAUACGAAGGGGGCUAGCGUUGCUCGGAAUUACUGGGCGUAAAGGGAGCGUANGCGGACUGUUUAGUCAGAGGUGAAAGCCCAGGGCUCAACCUUGGAAUUGCCUUUGAUACUGGCAGUCUUGAGUACGGAAGAGGUAUGUGGAACUCCGAGUGUAGAGGUGAAAUUCGUAGAUAUUCGGAAGAACACCAGUGGCGAAGGCGACAUACUGGUCCGUUACUGACGCUGAGGCUCGAAAGCGUGGGGAGCAAACAGGAUUAGAUACCCUGGUAGUCCACGCCGUAAACGAUGAGUGCUAGUUGUCGGCAUGCAUGCAUGUCGGUGACGCAGCUAACGCAUUAAGCACUCCGCCUGGG